GGUUAAGCGACUAAGCGUACACGGUGGAUGCCCUGGCAGUCAGAGGCGAUGAAGGACGUGCUAAUCUGCGAUAAGCGUCGGUGAGGUGAUAUGAACCGUUAUAACCGGCGAUUUCCGAAUGGGGAAACCCAGUGUGUUUCGACACACUAUCAUUAACUGAAUCCAUAGGUUAAUGAGGCGAACCGGGGGAACUGAAACAUCUAAGUACCCCGAGGAAAAGAAAUCAACCGAGAUUCCCCCAGUAGCGGCGAGCGAACGGGGAGGAGCCCAGAGCCUGAAUCAGUGUGUGUGUUAGUGGAAGCGUCUGGAAAGGCGCGCGAUACAGGGUGACAGCCCCGUACACAAAAAUGCACAUACUGUGAGCUCGAUGAGUAGGGCGGGACACGUGGUAUCCUGUCUGAAUAUGGGGGGACCAUCCUCCAAGGCUAAAUACUCCUGACUGACCGAUAGUGAACCAGUACCGUGAGGGAAAGGCGAAAAGAACCCCGGCGAGGGGAGUGAAAAAGAACCUGAAACCGUGUACGUACAAGCAGUGGGAGCCUCUUAAUGGGGUGACUGCGUACCUUUUGUAUAAUGGGUCAGCGACUUAUAUUCUGUAGCAAGGUUAACCGAAUAGGGGAGCCGAAGGGAAACCGAGUCUUAACUGGGCGUUAAGUUGCAGGGUAUAGACCCGAAACCCGGUGAUCUAGCCAUGGGCAGGUUGAAGGUUGGGUAACACUAACUGGAGGACCGAACCGACUAAUGUUGAAAAAUUAGCGGAUGACUUGUGGCUGGGGGUGAAAGGCCAAUCAAACCGGGAGAUAGCUGGUUCUCCCCGAAAGCUAUUUAGGUAGCGCCUCGUGAAUUCAUCUCCGGGGGUAGAGCACUGUUUCGGCAAGGGGGUCAUCCCGACUUACCAACCCGAUGCAAACUGCGAAUACCGGAGAAUGUUAUCACGGGAGACACACGGCGGGUGCUAACGUCCGUCGUGAAGAGGGAAACAACCCAGACCGCCAGCUAAGGUCCCAAAGUCAUGGUUAAGUGGGAAACGAUGUGGGAAGGCCCAGACAGCCAGGAUGUUGGCUUAGAAGCAGCCAUCAUUUAAAGAAAGCGUAAUAGCUCACUGGUCGAGUCGGCCUGCGCGGAAGAUGUAACGGGGCUAAACCAUGCACCGAAGCUGCGGCAGCGACGCUUAUGCGUUGUUGGGUAGGGGAGCGUUCUGUAAGCCUGUGAAGGUGUGCUGUGAGGCAUGCUGGAGGUAUCAGAAGUGCGAAUGCUGACAUAAGUAACGAUAAAGCGGGUGAAAAACCCGCUCGCCGGAAGACCAAGGGUUCCUGUCCAACGUUAAUCGGGGCAGGGUGAGUCGACCCCUAAGGCGAGGCCGAAAGGCGUAGUCGAUGGGAAACAGGUUAAUAUUCCUGUACUUGGUGUUACUGCGAAGGGGGGACGGAGAAGGCUAUGUUGGCCGGGCGACGGUUGUCCCGGUUUAAGCGUGUAGGCUGGUUUUCCAGGCAAAUCCGGAAAACCAAGGCUGAGGCGUGAUGACGAGGCACUACGGUGCUGAAGCGACAAAUGCCCUGCUUCCAGGAAAAGCCUCUAAGCAUCAGGUAACAUCAAAUCGUACCCCAAACCGACACAGGUGGUCAGGUAGAGAAUACCAAGGCGCUUGAGAGAACUCGGGUGAAGGAACUAGGCAAAAUGGUGCCGUAACUUCGGGAGAAGGCACGCUGAUAUGUAGGUGAAGCGACUUGCUCGUGGAGCUGAAAUCAGUCGAAGAUACCAGCUGGCUGCAACUGUUUAUUAAAAACACAGCACUGUGCAAACACGAAAGUGGACGUAUACGGUGUGACGCCUGCCCGGUGCCGGAAGGUUAAUUGAUGGGGUUAGCGGCAACGCGAAGCUCUUGAUCGAAGCCCCGGUAAACGGCGGCCGUAACUAUAACGGUCCUAAGGUAGCGAAAUUCCUUGUCGGGUAAGUUCCGACCUGCACGAAUGGCGUAAUGAUGGCCAGGCUGUCUCCACCCGAGACUCAGUGAAAUUGAACUCGCUGUGAAGAUGCAGUGUACCCGCGGCAAGACGGAAAGACCCCGUGAACCUUUACUAUAGCUUGACACUGAACAUUGAGCCUUGAUGUGUAGGAUAGGUGGGAGGCUUUGAAGUGUGGACGCCAGUCUGCAUGGAGCCGACCUUGAAAUACCACCCUUUAAUGUUUGAUGUUCUAACGUUGGCCCCUAAUCGGGGUUGCGGACAGUGUCUGGUGGGUAGUUUGACUGGGGCGGUCUCCUCCUAAAGAGUAACGGAGGAGCACGAAGGUUGGCUAAUCCUGGUCGGACAUCAGGAGGUUAGUGCAAUGGCAUAAGCCAGCUUGACUGCGAGCGUGACGGCGCGAGCAGGUGCGAAAGCAGGUCAUAGUGAUCCGGUGGUUCUGAAUGGAAGGGCCAUCGCUCAACGGAUAAAAGGUACUCCGGGGAUAACAGGCUGAUACCGCCCAAGAGUUCAUAUCGACGGCGGUGUUUGGCACCUCGAUGUCGGCUCAUCACAUCCUGGGGCUGAAGUAGGUCCCAAGGGUAUGGCUGUUCGCCAUUUAAAGUGGUACGCGAGCUGGGUUUAGAACGUCGUGAGACAGUUCGGUCCCUAUCUGCCGUGGGCGCUGGAGAACUGAGGGGGGCUGCUCCUAGUACGAGAGGACCGGAGUGGACGCAUCACUGGUGUUCGGGUUGUCAUGCCAAUGGCACUGCCCGGUAGCUAAAUGCGGAAGAGAUAAGUGCUGAAAGCAUCUAAGCACGAAACUUGCCCCGAGAUGAGUUCUCCCUGAGACUUAGAGUCUCCUGAAGGAACGUUGAAGACGACGACG
Molecule: ribosomal RNA, 2832 nt
Filed under: Escherichia coli
Lineage: Bacteria; Pseudomonadati; Pseudomonadota; Gammaproteobacteria; Enterobacterales; Enterobacteriaceae
Description: partial 23S ribosomal RNA
Rfam family: Bacterial large subunit ribosomal RNA
Source: RNAcentral